AUACUUACCUGGCACAGGAGGAAACCAUGAUCCUCAAGGUGGUUCUCCCAAAGUGAGGCCCUUCCAUUGCACUCCGGUUGGGUUGACCUUUGCGAUCGCCCCAAAUGUGGGCGACUCGGGUGCGCUAUUUCUAAGUGUGGGGUCUGCGUUCGCGCUCACCCCGU
Molecule: non-coding RNA, 164 nt
Organism: Octopus bimaculoides (California two-spot octopus)
Lineage: Eukaryota; Metazoa; Mollusca; Cephalopoda; Octopoda; Octopodidae
Source: Rfam